This 125-nucleotide small RNA is filed under the name Marmota monax (woodchuck). The record is from RNAcentral. Lineage: Eukaryota; Metazoa; Chordata; Mammalia; Rodentia; Sciuridae.
GCUGGGCACAGUUGGGAAUGCCUGUAAUCCCAGCAGCUUGGGAGGCUGAGACAAGAGGAUCAUGAGUUCAAAGCCAGCUUCAGCAAAAGCAAGGUGCUAAGCAACUCUGUGAGACCCUGUCUCUA